AUAAUCGGGAAGCUAUGAAGAAUUUUCUUUAUUUGGGCACUUAGAGAAUUUGGAGCUAGUAGUGCAACCGGCCAACAAUUAA
RNAcentral lists this non-coding RNA (82 nucleotides) under Clostridium puniceum. RNAcentral describes it as "c-di-GMP-II sequence". It matches the Rfam family "Cyclic di-GMP-II riboswitch aptamer". The record is from Rfam by way of RNAcentral. Lineage: Bacteria; Bacillati; Bacillota; Clostridia; Eubacteriales; Clostridiaceae.